Molecule: ribosomal RNA, 492 nt
Filed under: uncultured bacterium
Lineage: Bacteria
Description: partial 16S ribosomal RNA
Rfam family: Bacterial small subunit ribosomal RNA
Source: RNAcentral
AGUGAACGCUGGCGGUAGGCCUAACACAUGCAAGUCGAACGGCAGCACAGUAAGAGCUUGCUCUUACGGGUGGCGAGUGGCGGACGGGUGAGGAAUACAUCGGAAUCUACUUUUUCGUGGGGGAUAACGUAGGGAAACUUACGCUAAUACCGCAUACGACCUACGGGUGAAAGCAGGGGAUCUUCGGACCUUGCGCGAUUGAAUGAGCCGAUGUCGGAUUAGCUAGUUGGCGGGGUAAAGGCCCACCAAGGCGACGAUCCGUAGCUGGUCUGAGAGGAUGAUCGGCCACCCUGGAACUGGGACACGGUCCAGACUCCUACGGGAGGCAGCAGUGGGGAAUAUUGGACAAUGGGCGCAAGCCUGAUCCAGCCAUCCCGCGUGGGUGAAGAAGGCCUUCGGGUUGUAAAGCCCUUUUGUUGGGAAAGAAAAGCAGCAGGUUAAUACCCCGCUGUUCUGACGGUACCCAAAGAAUAAGCACCGGCUAACUUCGUG